Molecule: unclassified non-coding RNA, 391 nt
Filed under: soil metagenome
Description: partial contains 5.8S ribosomal RNA, internal transcribed spacer 2, and large subunit ribosomal RNA
Rfam family: 5.8S ribosomal RNA (bases 1-122)
Source: RNAcentral
GAUGAAGAACGUAGCGAAAUGCGAUACUUGGUGUGAAUUGCAGAAUCCCGUGAACCAUCGAGUCUUUGAACGCAAGUUGCGCCCGAAGCCAUUAGGCCGAGGGCACGCCUGCCUGGGCGUCACACGUCGUUGCCCCCCCAUCUACUCCUUCGGGAUUGCGGGGGGCGGAUGAUGGCCUCCCGUGCGCCUCGUCGCGCGGUUGGCAUAAAUGCCAAGUCCUCGGCGACGCACGCCACGACAAUCGGUGGUUGCGAAACCUCGGUUGCCCGUCGUGUGCGGUCGUCGCGAAUCGAGGGCUCGAAAAAAUUGCCGGGCUCCGGCUCGGCUUUCAACGCGACCCCAGGUCAGGCGGGGUUACCCGCUGAAUUUAAGCAUAUCAAUAAGCGGAGGA